GACGAACGCUGGCGGCGUGCCUAAUACAUGCAAGUCGAGCGAAUGAUUAGAGAAGCUUGCUUCUCUCUGAUUUAGCGGCGGACGGGUGAGUAACACGUGGGUAACCUACCCUAUAGACUGGGAUAACUUCGGGAAACCGGAGCUAAUACCGGAUAAUACUUUUGAACUCAUGUUCGAUUGUUGAAAGAUGGUUUCGGCUAUCACUAUAGGAUGGACCCGCGGCGCAUUAGCUAGUUGGUGAGGUAACGGCUCACCAAGGCAACGAUGCGUAGCCGACCUGAGAGGGUGAUCGGCCACACUGGGACUGAGACACGGCCCAGACUCCUACGGGUGGCAG
Molecule: ribosomal RNA, 337 nt
Filed under: uncultured Bacillota bacterium
Lineage: Bacteria; Bacillati; Bacillota
Description: bacterial SSU rRNA
Rfam family: Bacterial small subunit ribosomal RNA
Source: RNAcentral